Capsicum annuum is the source of this 2502-nucleotide long non-coding RNA. RefSeq lists it as uncharacterized. Lineage: Eukaryota; Viridiplantae; Streptophyta; Magnoliopsida; Solanales; Solanaceae. The record is from RefSeq and is a predicted model, not a curated record. The transcript has 2 exons.
UCUUGUUUAAAGCAUCUUAAAUAUUCUUCUACCUUUUUUCUUUCUUGUACAGAUUCUUAGAUUCAAAACUGGUUAUUCUUGACACUGGUUUCUGAUGUAAUUAGUGUAGUGGUAUGUUUUUCGUAUUCUGUUUUUAACCCUAAAUGAACUUUUACAUACCGUUUUAGUUAGAAGAUCAUUAAUCCUUACUUAGUUACUAUCUUUCUUUCUGAAUUCGAAUUGUUAUAGUCUUUUUCACCACAUGGAUGUGAACUGUUUUGACUAUGAUUUUGAAACAUCCUUUAAUUUUUAAAAACAUGACCAAAAACAUCCCUCUAUUACGUUUUCCAUCCAUUACUAACAGAAGUUUGUUUAUUCAUGUGACCUUUUUACUGUUGUUUCCUUGAAAGUUCCUCAUUCUCCGUAAGAACACUAAAAACUUGCUUUGAUUUGUCUUUCUCCAAGAAAAUAAUUGUCCAUAGUUUUUUCUGCCCAAUUAUAUCUUCCUAUCUCUUUUAGCUUGAAUACUCAAUUUUUCCACGUAUAGUUGUGUAAAGUGGUCUGAUAAAUUGUGUCAUCUUAAGAAGUAUUUAUGGUUUAGAAUUUUGCAUUGAUGGUCUUAGAUAUAAUUUAGGUCAUCUAGAAAGCUGCAGUAAUCAAGUAUGGAAAUGUAACAUUCCACUAAUUGCUAAAGAUUUGUACAAAAUGUCAAAGAAUUACUUUCUCCCUUCAUCUUUAAUUGUUUAGUAUACUAGAGAUAGAUGCCCAAUAAUAUUUAUCUAGCUUGAAAAAUCAAUGGAUAAUUUGUCUUUUUGAGUCAAUUUUACCUAUGCUAUUAAAUUCAUUGAAUUUUUCAAAGCAUUAACUUUAUAAUAUUCAAAUUGUGAUAUAGUAGAAUUGAACCUAUUAUUUAUUGUUUCUUAAGGUAUUUACCAAUUCAGUAUUUGAUAGGUAAAGAUUGACGAAGGGAGUAGUCAUGAGAUAAACAAUGUGCAGAAUGCAACAAAUGUGUAGUAGUGCAAAAUAUAUAAAAUAAUGUACUCCCUAUGUUUCAUUUUACUUGACCCCUAUACUAAAAUAAUUGUGUCAAUUAAAUAUACCAUGAUUUUAUUACUAUUAUUUACUCCUAUCAUACUAAGCCCAAAAUAUCACAACAAAUAAAGUUACAAACAAGACAAAGUUCACUGGAGAAGACAAUUUUAAUUUCUAUGACCCUUUGGAGGCGGGAGAACAAAAACUCUCCAGAAAAAAAAAAUGGUAGAAGCUUGUGUCUUAUAAAACCCCCCUUAGAAUUAGAUAUGGAAGAAGAAAGAAAUGAGUCACGUGAAUAAACAAUUUUUUGUUAGGAAUGGAUGGAAAACAUAUCAGAGGGAUGCUUUUGGUCAAGUUUUUAAAACUUAAAGGAUGUUUCAAGUUAAGUGACAUAUUAUAAGGAUGAAGUUAAAGUUUGGGUGAAACAACAAGGAUGAAUUUGGUCAAAAACUCUGCUAUUGCUCUCUCCUUAAAAAAAAAAAAGACUAUUAGCUGGUUCUACUACAAAGAAUAAAAAAUAUUUCUCAAGCGCUUUGGUGUCUCUUUUCGAAUUUAGUUAGUGAUUCCUAUUUGUGCCUGUAAGUUAAUUCGUGGAAUUAGUAUAUACCAACUUGUAUCUCUUUUCUUAUUAAUUAACUCUCUUGUUUCAGUCAUGUACUUAUGUUCAUUUUCUUACUACAAUGUUAUUUAUGUACUUAGGGGGAACUUCAUAUGAAUGGUCUUUUUCAUUGAUGCAUGAUUAUAGUAUCUUGGCUCACCAGAUUGGUUAAUAGUAUUCAUUGUUUUAACUCUGUUAUUUUGUAUUCGUCAUUCUUCUUCUUUUUUUUUUCAUUUUCACAUGCCAUCUUUGAUAUAGGUUUUCGACGUCACAAGUUGAAUGAAUUGGAAAAAGACCGAAUACAAACAAUUUCUUAUUUCGUUGUCCGCUUCCAAAGUUGGGCCAAGUGCAGCUAAACCAUGCUAAACAGGCAACAAAGUCUGCCAUUCUGAUGAACUUGGAAUCUCGGGUAUCGAUAAUUCAACUGCCUAUACUGCAUUGGCCUGAAUUUGCAGAAGGAUGCAUGUUGUAUAAUAUAUGUGCUUACUGGUGAUGUCUAACUUGUACAUGGUUGCAUCCGAAGUUAUUGACAGACAACUUUUGACAUAUGGAGAGAGGUAUACACUUGAUUCUAAUGUUCUCCUAGCUGACUUAAUUAUUUUAAAAAAUUCGCUGCUCUAAAUCUACGUUGUUAGCUUGAAAGUCGUCUACAGAUUGAUUAAUUAUUUCAGUCCAGUGAUGCAAUUGAAAAUGCGCUUACUUCAUCCGUGGAUGGAGAAUCACCAUGCAAAUAUUUGGUAUCUUUUCAUAUUGGAUUUUUAUGGAGCUGCAGUUGUAAACUUUAAGUUAUUGUAAUCGAGAUUGUUAAUUAUGUGUGACAUGAAUUUAGAUUUGUACUGUUUUGUAUUCGGAAUAUUUUUAAUUUAGUCUAUGUUAUAAGUGGUUUUAUAUUU